This 447-nucleotide long non-coding RNA is filed under the name Sarcophilus harrisii (Tasmanian devil). Its description in RNAcentral is "lncRNA (ENSSHAG00000022178.1)". Lineage: Eukaryota; Metazoa; Chordata; Mammalia; Dasyuromorphia; Dasyuridae. The record is from RNAcentral.
AGGGUCAGGUUCUGGACUCUAGGAGGAAGCAUUGGCUCUUUGGGACAGUGAUCCAAAACCCACGCUCAAGCUUUCAGAGCCGGAAAGAGAGUGGGAGGGUGGGGGGCGGUGAGCCGGAGACCUUAUCUCUCAGACUCCGCCUCCCCAAGACACAGAGAAAGUUUCAGAAUGCAGCUAGUUGAGUCUUCCAUCCACUAGGCUGCUGAGAGGCGGCCAGUGCUAGAAAAGCAACGGAGGGACGUAGCUGGAUUGGAACACAGGUUUCUCUCAGUCUUUCUGCAUAGUGUCCUUUGGGGAAGCUUGCGAGCUCUGGAUUGCCUCACCUGCCCAGAAGAAUUUGAGGGUUGUGGGAAGUGUGGAGCGCUCUGCUGGCUGCUGACUCCUCUCUUCUCGUUCCCGGCUAUUUGGGCUCCCCUUGAGAGCUCCAGGUAAAGAAGACUUUCUUUA